This 64-nucleotide transfer RNA is filed under the name Vibrio cholerae. RNAcentral's name for it is "tRNA-Gly". It matches the Rfam family "tRNA", at positions 5 to 66 of the family's 71-position model. Rfam says of the family: Transfer RNA (tRNA) molecules are approximately 80 nucleotides in length. Lineage: Bacteria; Pseudomonadati; Pseudomonadota; Gammaproteobacteria; Vibrionales; Vibrionaceae. RNAcentral also lists the same sequence under 1 other name. The record is from RNAcentral.
CACUAGCUCAGUUGGUAGAGCGCAACCUUGCCAAGGUUGAGGUCACGAGUUCGAACCUCGUGUG